Molecule: ribosomal RNA, 466 nt
Filed under: Microbacteriaceae bacterium 'ARUP UnID 392'
Lineage: Bacteria; Bacillati; Actinomycetota; Actinomycetes; Micrococcales; Microbacteriaceae
Description: bacterial SSU rRNA
Rfam family: Bacterial small subunit ribosomal RNA
Source: RNAcentral
GGACGAACGCUGGCGGCGUGCUUAACACAUGCAAGUCGAACGAUGAAGCCUAGCUUGCUGGGUGGAUUAGUGGCGAACGGGUGAGUAACACGUGAGUAACCUGCCCUUCACUCUGGGAUAAGCGCUGGAAACGGCGUCUAAUACUGGAUAUGACCUUACACCGCAUGGUGUUUGGUGGAAAGUUUUUUCGGUGGGGGAUGGACUCGCGGCCUAUCAGCUUGAUGGUGAGGUAAUGGCUCACCAUGGCGACGACGGGUAGCCGGCCUGAGAGGGUGACCGGCCACACUGGGACUGAGACACGGCCCAGACUCCUACGGGAGGCAGCAGUGGGGAAUAUUGCACAAUGGGCGCAAGCCUGAUGCAGCAACGCCGCGUGAGGGAUGACGGCCUUCGGGUUGUAAACCUCUUUUAGUAGGGAAGAAGCGGAAGUGACGGUACCUACAGAAAAAGCACCGGCUAACUACGU